ACCAAACCCAUUGUAUUAACAUACGGAUAGGCCCAAGAGAGAAUUAAAAGCCCAUAAGGUGUAGGGUUCCGACUUCCGAUGUCUCUGGAUAUAAAUUGGUAGAGAAGAGUAACGAGUCGUCUUGUUUGCUGCUAAAAUCGGCUGAUCUCUAGUUCUCUACCCAAGUUAAUCCAAGAUGCGAGCUAAGUGGAAGAAGAAGCGGAUGAGGAGACUGAAGAGGAAGCGCCGAAAGAUGAGACAGAGAUCCAAGUAGACUGUUUGCUGGGUCAAUGAGAUCACUUCUGCUUGUGAGUCUACAUCUUCAUCACCACAAUGCUGAAUGAUUCAAGGGCACUGAAAGCAGAGUUUUCUUGUACUGCUAGCAACUAAGUCAGCUUUAGGAUUUAUGUUUGGGGAAUGCUGUUAGUUUGGUUAUUUUAUGAAGACCUUCAAAAAACUUUGUUGUCAGAAAUGAUCUUUUUUAUUUUGCAUAAUCGGGUUUUAUGAAUGAUAUAACAUUGCAAUUUAUUUUUAAUUGUGUC
Daucus carota subsp. sativus is the source of this 521-nucleotide long non-coding RNA. RefSeq lists it as uncharacterized. The record is from RefSeq and is a predicted model, not a curated record. NCBI's taxonomy places the organism in Eukaryota, Viridiplantae, Streptophyta, Magnoliopsida, Apiales, Apiaceae. The transcript is spliced from 2 exons.